UAAAAAUAAAUAAAAAUGACUUGAUCAUAGAUUUAAGGGAAUGCUGCUGCCUAACGGACCCAGCCAAUGGUAUCGAAUUGAAUUAUAAAACGGUAAGGCUUUUUUGGCUUCAGAAUCCAGCCAACGUGCAGUUUCCAGUACCCAUUACCAUAGUACAAAAUCCAACCUAAAAGAGUAUGAACUGCAAGGUCGUUACAGCAAGAAAUAGACAUCUAUCUAGCUCACUGUAAGAGCUUGACCUUCACAGGCUUUGAGAACUCAAAUACAAAAUGUGAUCAUAACCAGGAUACAGAUGUUCCGGCUAAUCUGCAUAUUUGAAACACAGAUUAAAACAAGUGCAGAUAUCCUUGAUUCAUUUCAGAUGCAGGCACAAAACUAACCAAACAGGAAAGUUACUUCUGUCCAAAAACUAGCACAUGACAAUGCAAAUCCAUCAGCGAUACCAGAUAGCAGAGGCAGGGAAAAUACUGAGAAAGUCGAACAAACACACUCAUACAGUUAAAACCAAAUAAGGGAGAAAACAAACGACUUCAGUUUGUGAGAUAGAAAGGUUUCUAGAGACCUUGAUGAAACCUCCCCCAGUAAGGGCAUGACAGACAUUCAGCCAGACCACAUUCUCAGUUGUCAUAAUCCCGGGAAACCGACCUCUCUGAUCUUCUA
Molecule: long non-coding RNA, 660 nt
Organism: Populus euphratica (Euphrates poplar)
Lineage: Eukaryota; Viridiplantae; Streptophyta; Magnoliopsida; Malpighiales; Salicaceae
Exons: 2
Source: RefSeq, a predicted model, not a curated record